This 2923-nucleotide long non-coding RNA is filed under the name Leptinotarsa decemlineata (Colorado potato beetle). Its description in RNAcentral is "uncharacterized LOC111504791". The record is from RNAcentral. Lineage: Eukaryota; Metazoa; Arthropoda; Insecta; Coleoptera; Chrysomelidae.
ACAAUAAUAAAUGACCACCAUGGUCAUUUAUUUGGCUGAUUUGGCCGAACUGUUUUAUACUCGAAAACAUCAAUAGGAAUGUAAUAACCAUGUAGUCAAUGCAUGUGAAACUAGUGUAAUCAUUUUUGUUUGUGAGUAUUAUAGAAGGGCCUAUAUAAUUUUUUAAAACUAAAACAAUAAAAAAUGUAAUUCAGAAGUUUAGUGUUUUUUUUGUCCGAUUGUUUGAGAAAGUCAAUUCUGAAAUCCCCACAUAACGUAUAAAAUUGGCACGAUUAUAGGCAACUGGACUGGAUCAAAUACUUAAUGAAAGUAGGUAUGAAUGUCACCAUCUGGGGGGGUCUUCAGACUGAAAUAAUGCAAAUUUUUACAUUCUCAAUUUUAAGAUUAAUUUAACACAGUUCAAUGUAAGAUUCAACAGAUAAGUUUUCAACAGUUUUUAAGCUUCGGUAUGGUUUUGUCUAGCGAAGAAAGUAAUCACUAUGUAAUUAGUGAAAUAUUUACAAUUUAAAUGUUGAUUUGUGAGUUAAUGCUUCGAAAUACACAAAAAAUCUAUGUUGUUGAAGUAUAAAAAUAAUUAAUUUAAAAUUGUUUUUUUUAAAGCAUUCAAAAUUCGCAUGAAAAACAUUGACAUAAUUAAAAACUUUCUCAUUAAGACAAUGACUAUCUUCUUGAUCACACGAACCCAGGAUGCCAUUGUGUGAGUUACUCUUGGUCAACAUCAAAAGUUUGGAGCUACCUGGGAGAGUUGAGGGUAUAAAAAAUUCCUCGUAUCGUGACAACUACUGAGGGUUUGAUCAGUUGGCUCUUCAACUUGACUUGAUACCAGUCCGUGUUCUGAUACAUCCGACUGGAGGAGGUGUGGGUGUGUUGUCAGGGAUAUAAAAAUUCCUGGUAUGACAACUACUGAGGGGUUGAUUAGAUAAAUCUUCAACUGGUGACUGACCAUAUAAGUUCGUGUUCUGAUACAUCCGACUGGAAGAACUGUGGGUAAAGAGUUCCAUAAUGGCUGGUAGACAAACUUUUGUUGCUUCGAAAAAUCAUUGCAGGUGUGUUGUUUUGGUUUUCAAAAUCAUUAUCAUUAGUGUCGUUUUCACUAACAGUGAAAUGUUAAAUAAUAUGAGAUAUUAUUGUCCUGCUUAGUAACUUGUUUGUUGAAUUCGUAAGAACAUUAUUUUCCAUUGAUUCACAAUGUUGUUACAUUUAAUUAAAUUGUUAAACUUUUUUAAAUUCGAACAUGUUUCAUCAGCUUCAAAUUAUUAUCGUAAAUUAAUAGAUUUCUCUCUCUGUUAGGCUUUAGGAAAUCCUGCCAUACAUGUUUUGAAUUAUGAAACUCAACCACCUUGUUGGUGGUUGAGUUUCACAGAUUUUUGUAGAAAUCGCAAUGAGUAUCAUACAGUGUAGUAUAGAAUAAGUGUUUUUUACUUCUUUGGCUGCUUCACAAUUUGUUAUUCUUUUCUUCAAAUUUUCCGGUCCUCAUUUGCGAACUUUUUUGACCGUGAUCUUAGCUCAGUCGACCUAGCCGUUUGCAAAUGUUUUAUGAAUACUAACCCGGAUGUCUAAUUAAGAAAGAUUCACUGUGAAGAAUUCAGAAUUUUGUCAAAGCCACUCAAAAUACAAUUUCAGUAGGAACUUUGCCAUACUUUCAUUUCUUAGUGAGCAUUGAUAUGAAGACAUUUGAUCACUGAUUAGUUUUUCCACUCUAGCAAUAAAGAAUUGUGGAAAGGGUAUUUCGACAACAUUGAAAUGUUUAUCCAUCCUCUAUCCUUUUUGUAAUUUUAAUUCAUUGGUAUAUAGAAAUUUAGUACUGCAUUGAUAACAGUUUUAGCCUACCUUGACUAAUUACACUCCUUUAUCAGUAAAAAAUCAGUUUGUUCCCAUAUACACAAUGAAGUAAAAGUGGGUUGAAAAUUAUUAACGUGACAAUCGACAUAUAGCAAAUAACGGAUGAGGUUGAAUAUCGUAAACCGAGGAUUAUAACAACCGAAUCCGUUAUUUGCGUAUCGGCUGUGUUCAAGACUUUUCGUAAUUCCGCUGAGAUUACAUUUUGAUUAAGAGGAAAGAACAAACUACGUAACUCGUUAUUCUACAGAAAAAUCCCAACAUCGUGUUGUCAUGGAACAACUUAACAAUAUUAUGAACGUCAGUUUUUUCUGUUUGCGAGUUCGCUUUAACAACGACUAUGGAUGAAAUUGAAGGAAUUGGGGAACAAAAUCAAAUUUCUUUAGAAAUAUUGGGAGAAUCAUGUGCAGGAAGUGCUGAUUUACUGCCGAAAAUAACUCAAGAGUGAUAAAAGAAUAUGAAUAUUUUUAAGAGUGGCAUAAAAGCAAGAAUGUAAACGUGGUUAAUGAAUAGGUAUUAUUGCCUAUACAAAAGGAAAAUAGAGGUACAUAAAGACAAUACAGAGUCUGAUUUAGGAAACAUCAAAAUGAGUAGCGACGAAGAAUCGAUGACAGAUGGAGGAAAAGAAAAAAAAACUGGAAAGUUACCAGAUAUAUUCUCUAAAAGCAGAAAAAUCAACAGAACACCUGAAAGAAAGAAAAAAGAAGAAGACGACAAAUUAGAAACUAUCAUCACAAUGAUUCAAGAAAUGAAAACGGAUAUGAAAAAGGAACUCAAACAAAUAAGGGAAGAACAAAAAAUAUAGAAAUCAAAUGAUAAAAAUCAAAACGGACAAUGACAUACUGAAAAAUGAAAAUAAAUACCUGAAAGAAGAAAUUGAAACAAUCAAUAGCAAACUUGACAAAAUAGAUAGAGAAACGAGAAGAAAUAAUGUGGUUAUACAAGAACUACCAAUCACAACAAAUGAUGAAGAGGAGUUGAAAGAAGGAAUGACUUCAUUCAUCAAAAAUACUAUGGACAUCGAUUUAAAAAUAAGAAAUGCCAGAAAAAUAGGUGAUAAAAUAUGUCUACUACAAUUGGAAAA